GCUCCGGUGGGAGACCGAGUCGAAGAAGAGUCAGACCUCGUUUGGGUCGGCAGCAAAGACAAGGCACGGCUAGGUUGAGAGGAAUAAAAGAACUCCAUGGACAGAAGAAGAACACAGAACUACGGUGAUGCGCAUAGCCUCCUGACAAACGUAGGCAAAAACGCUCAAGAACAUGUUUGGAGCAAUGCACAGACAGCAUGUUUUUUGGAUUGAUGUUGCUGCUGUAUUGUUUUUGGAAACAGAAACAUUUUGGCAAUUUCGAUGGAAAUGAGACUAAAUCUUGUGGUCUGAUCGCCUUUCAUCAGUGUUAGUUGUUUUACCAGUUUUCCACCUCCAUCUCCUCUUCCUAAAUUAAUUGUUGAAGUAGCUUGGUGUUUCUAGUCAUCUUUACACAACUCUUCAUGUGAAACCUGCUUAUUCCAGAAGUUGAUAGAUUUUUCCAUGGUCUAACUAAAACCUGGUAAUCUGAAAUUUGGGAAUAAGAUGAUCAUGUUCUUAUAAUAGCAUUUUCUAUUGUAUGGUAUAAUGACCUUUAAG
Non-coding RNA from Camellia sinensis, 537 nucleotides. Lineage: Eukaryota; Viridiplantae; Streptophyta; Magnoliopsida; Ericales; Theaceae. The record is from RefSeq and is a predicted model, not a curated record.